This 395-nucleotide ribosomal RNA is filed under the name uncultured bacterium. RNAcentral's name for it is "bacterial SSU rRNA". It matches the Rfam family "Bacterial small subunit ribosomal RNA", at positions 997 to 1393 of the family's 1533-position model. The record is from RNAcentral.
GGCUGAGAGAUCAGCUGUUCCCUUCGGGGACAGAAUGACAGGUGGUGCAUGGUUGUCGUCAGCUCGUGUCGUGAGAUGUUGGGUUAAGUCCCGCAACGAGCGCAACCCUUAUGAUCAGUUGCCAGUAUUCAGUUGGGCACUCUGGUCAGACUGCCGGUGACAAACCGGAGGAAGGCGGGGAUGACGUCAAAUCAUCAUGCCCCUUAUGACCUGGGCUACACACGUGCUACAAUGGGUGGUACAACGAGCAGCGAGACCGCGAGGUCAAGCGAAUCUCUAAAAACCAUCCUCAGUUCGGAUUGCAGGCUGCAACUCGCCUGCAUGAAGCUGGAAUCGCUAGUAAUCGCGGAUCAGCACGCCGCGGUGAAUACGUUCCCGGGUCUUGUACACACCGA